AUUGAACGCUGGCGGCAGGCCUAACACAUGCAAGUCGAGCGGAUGAGUGGAGCUUGCUCCAUGAUUCAGCGGCGGACGGGUGAGUAAUGCCUAGGAAUCUGCCUGGUAGUGGGGGACAACGUUUCGAAAGGAACGCUAAUACCGCAUACGUCCUACGGGAGAAAGCAGGGGACCUUCGGGCCUUGCGCUAUCAGAUGAGCCUAGGUCGGAUUAGCUAGUAGGUGAGGUAAUGGCUCACCUAGGCGACGAUCCGUAACUGGUCUGAGAGGAUGAUCAGUCACACUGGAACUGAGACACGGUCCAGACUCCUACGGGAGGCAGCAGUGGGGAAUA
RNAcentral lists this ribosomal RNA (333 nucleotides) under uncultured bacterium. RNAcentral describes it as "bacterial SSU rRNA". It matches the Rfam family "Bacterial small subunit ribosomal RNA", at positions 30 to 363 of the family's 1533-position model. The record is from RNAcentral.